RNAcentral lists this ribosomal RNA (253 nucleotides) under uncultured bacterium. Its description in RNAcentral is "partial 16S ribosomal RNA". It matches the Rfam family "Bacterial small subunit ribosomal RNA", at positions 524 to 776 of the family's 1533-position model. The record is from RNAcentral.
UACGUAGGGUGCAAGCGUUGUCCGGAAUUAUUGGGCGUAAAGAGCUCGUAGGCGGUCUGUCGCGUCGGCUGUGGAAACCCGGGGCUCAACCCCGGGCCUGCAGUCGAUACGGGCAGACUAGAGUGCGGUAGGGGAGACUGGAAUUCCUGGUGUAGCGGUGAAAUGCGCAGAUAUCAGGAGGAACACCGGUGGCGAAGGCGGGUCUCUGGGCCGUUACUGACGCUGAGGAGCGAAAGCGUGGGGAGCGAACAGG